AAGUCGUGACAAGGUCUCCGUUGGUGAACCAGCGGAGGGAUCAUUACUGAGUCGUAAAAAACUCCCAACCCAUGUGAAUUUACCUUUGUUGCCUCGGCGGUACCUACUCGGUGCUUUAAGCUACCUUGCAGUUCCGCCGGUGGACUAAUCAACUCUUGUUAUUUUACGGAAAUCUGAGCGUCUUAUUAAAUAAGUCAAAA
This 200-nucleotide unclassified non-coding RNA is filed under the name plant metagenome. RNAcentral describes it as "partial contains small subunit ribosomal RNA and internal transcribed spacer 1". The stretch from base 1 to 46 matches the Rfam family "Eukaryotic small subunit ribosomal RNA", at positions 1786 to 1831 of the family's 1831-position model. The record is from RNAcentral.